RNAcentral lists this ribosomal RNA (1383 nucleotides) under uncultured bacterium. RNAcentral describes it as "bacterial SSU rRNA". It matches the Rfam family "Bacterial small subunit ribosomal RNA". The record is from RNAcentral.
AGAGUUUGAUCCUGGCUCAGGAUGAACGCUGGCGGCGUGCUUAACACAUGCAAGUCGAACGGGAAAUAUUUCAUUGAGACUUCGGUGGAUUUGAUCUAUUUCUAGUGGCGGACGGGUGAGUAACGCGUGGGUAACCUGCCUUAUACAGGGGGAUAACAGUCAGAAAUGGCUGCUAAUACCGCAUAAGCGCACAGAGCUGCAUGGCUCAGUGUGAAAAACUCCGGUGGUAUAAGAUGGACCCGCGUUGGAUUAGCUUGUUGGCAGGGUAACGGCCUACCAAGGCGACGAUCCAUAGCCGGCCUGAGAGGGUGAACGGCCACAUUGGGACUGAGACACGGCCCAGACUCCUACGGGAGGCAGCAGUGGGGAAUAUUGCACAAUGGGGGAAACCCUGAUGCAGCGACGCCGCGUGAAGGAAGAAGUAUCUCGGUAUGUAAACUUCUAUCAGCAGAGAAGAUAGUGACGGUACCUGACUAAGAAGCCCCGGCUAACUACGUGCCAGCAGCCGCGGUAAUACGUAGGGGGCAAGCGUUAUCCGGAUUUACUGGGUGUAAAGGGAGCGUAGACGGUGUGGCAAGUCUGAUGUGAAAGGCAUGGGCUCAACCUGUGGACUGCGUUGGAAACUGUCAUACUUGAGUGCCGGAGGGGUAAGCGGAAUUCCUAGUGUAGCGGUGAAAUGCGUAGAUAUUAGGAGGAACACCAGUGGCGAAGGCGGCUUACUGGACGGUAACUGACGUUGAGGCUCGAAAGCGUGGGGAGCAAACAGGAUUAGAUACCCUGGUAGUCCAUGCCGUAAACGAUGAUUACUAGGUGUUGGAGGAUUGACCCCUUCAGUGCCGCAGUUAACACAAUAAGUAAUCCACCUGGGGAGUACGACCGCAAGGUUGAAACUCAAAGGAAUUGACGGGGGCCCGCACAAGCAGUGGAGUAUGUGGUUUAAUUCGAAGCAACGCGAAGAACCUUACCAGGUCUUGACAUCCGAUGCAUAGUGCAGAGAUGCAUGAAGUCCUUCGGGACAUCGAGACAGGUGGUGCAUGGUUGUCGUCAGCUCGUGUCGUGAGAUGUUGGGUUAAGUCCCGCAACGAGCGCAACCCUUAUUGCCAGUUACUACGAAAGAGGACUCUGGCGAGACUGCCGUUGACAAAACGGAGGAAGGUGGGGAUGACGUCAAAUCAUCAUGCCCUUUAUGACCUGGGCUACACACGUACUACAAUGGCGUUUAACAAAGAGAAGCAAGACCGCGAGGUGGAGCAAAACUCAAAAACAACGUCUCAGUUCAGAUUGCAGGCUGCAACUCGCCUGCAUGAAGUCGGAAUCGCUAGUAAUCGCGGAUCAGAAUGCCGCGGUGAAUACGUUCCCGGGUCUUGCACACACCGCCCGUCA